ACCUACGGGGCGCAGCAGUAGGGAAUCUUCCACAAUGGGCGAAAGCCUGAUGGAGCAACGCCGCGUGGGUGAAGAAGGUCUUCGGAUCGUAAAACCCUGUUGUUAGAGAAGAAAGUGCGUGAGAGUAACUGUUCACGUUUCGACUGUAUCUAACCAGAAAGCCACGGCUAACUACGUGCCAGCAGCCGCGGUAAUACGUAGGUGGCAAGCGUUAUCCGGAUUUAUUGGGCGUAAAGGGAACGCAGGUGGUCUUUUAAGUCUGAUGCGAAAGCCUUCGGCUUAACCGGAGUAGUGCAUUGGAAACU
Molecule: ribosomal RNA, 305 nt
Filed under: uncultured bacterium
Lineage: Bacteria
Description: bacterial SSU rRNA
Rfam family: Bacterial small subunit ribosomal RNA
Source: RNAcentral